Molecule: long non-coding RNA, 456 nt
Filed under: Ursus maritimus (polar bear)
Lineage: Eukaryota; Metazoa; Chordata; Mammalia; Carnivora; Ursidae
Description: lncRNA (ENSUMAG00000008027.1)
Source: RNAcentral
GGCCCCGUCUUCAGCCCCUCAACUCCGCGGCCCAGAGACGGCUGGGCGCGCCCCGAAUGUGCGCCAUCGCAGACCGGGUCGGGGCGGGAGCCCGUCCGCCCCCUCAACCACCCGCCGCCCCUGGAAAGGGGCGCCACGGCCCCCAGAUACCAGGUUGAACGAACAAAUAUAGAACUUUUACAGAUGCCCUUUGUAAAAGGAGUGUGGGGAGUAGGGAUAUAGUUUGAAUUGCAAAGUAUUUCCUUUAUGAGCUUGCUGGUUGUUACACAGUCUCACCAUGUGGGGCAAGUUCAUGCUACAAAAUGAAGCAAUUAUCGGAUGACUAUGAUCAGAUUUCUUCACCAAGUUCCCAGCCUGAGAAGGUACUUUAACAGAGCACAAACCAGAAGACAUUCUAGAAUGCUUUUUUCACCAAUCAGAAGUAACAGAAUGAAAUCCAAGCCCUAUGCAGAAGAG